RNAcentral lists this ribosomal RNA (336 nucleotides) under Lodderomyces parapsilosis. Its description in RNAcentral is "LSU rRNA". It matches the Rfam family "Eukaryotic large subunit ribosomal RNA", at positions 210 to 553 of the family's 3401-position model. Lineage: Eukaryota; Fungi; Ascomycota; Pichiomycetes; Serinales; Debaryomycetaceae. The record is from RNAcentral.
GGGUGAGAAUCCCGUGCGAUGAGAUGUCCCAGACCUAUGUAAAGUUCCUUCGAAGAGUCGAGUUGUUUGGGAAUGCAGCUCUAAGUGGGUGGUAAAUUCCAUCUAAAGCUAAAUAUUGGCGAGAGACCGAUAGCGAACAAGUACAGUGAUGGAAAGAUGAAAAGAACUUUGAAAAGAGAGUGAAAAAGUACGUGAAAUUGUUGAAAGGGAAGGGCUUGAGAUCAGACUUGGUAUUUUGUAUGUUACUCUCUCGGGGGUGGCCUCUACAGUUUACCGGGCCAGCAUCAGUUUGAGCGGUAGGAUAAGUGCAAAGAAAUGUGGCACUGCUUCGGUAGU